GUGUGUGUGUGUGUGUGUGUGUGUGUGUAUGUGUGUAUAUAUAUAUAUAUAUAUAUAUAUACACAUACAUACACACACACGCAGCAUG
Molecule: non-coding RNA, 88 nt
Organism: Pelobates cultripes (western spadefoot toad)
Lineage: Eukaryota; Metazoa; Chordata; Amphibia; Anura; Pelobatidae
Source: the annotation of a GenBank genome assembly